GGCCGGCUAGCUCAGUUGGUUAGAGCGUGGUGCUAAUAACGCCAAGGUCCUGGGUUCGACCCCCAUGUUGGCCA
This is a non-coding RNA of Gymnopilus junonius, 74 nucleotides long. The record is from the annotation of a GenBank genome assembly. Lineage: Eukaryota; Fungi; Basidiomycota; Agaricomycetes; Agaricales; Galerinaceae.